This 24-nucleotide non-coding RNA is filed under the name Arabidopsis thaliana (thale cress). RNAcentral also lists the same sequence under 7 other names. Lineage: Eukaryota; Viridiplantae; Streptophyta; Magnoliopsida; Brassicales; Brassicaceae. The record is from RNAcentral.
UAGCCAAAUGCCUCGUCAUCUAAU